This is a non-coding RNA of Prunus avium (sweet cherry), 468 nucleotides long. The record is from RefSeq and is a predicted model, not a curated record. NCBI's taxonomy places the organism in Eukaryota, Viridiplantae, Streptophyta, Magnoliopsida, Rosales, Rosaceae.
AACAAACCCCUCCCAUCCCAACUAUAAGCCCCAGUGCAGCCAUUGCAUUGGUUAUUGGGUGCUGCAACUUGUCACCACCAACACCUGAAUGGCACGUGUCCUUCCCUCUAAAACCCAGGGGUGCUUAUAGCAUGUGGGAGAUACUGAAAAAUAUUGAAAGAGCUUUCUACUACAUGAAGUUUCUUCUUUGCCUUUUUCAAGUUUCACCCUUAUUUUUAAUCUUUGUUCGAGUCAGUAAGAUUUUCAUGACCCCAUUUGAUCAUUGUGCGCUCAUAGAGCAAUGGCAUUUAUGCGAAAAGGCUCAAACUCAGGCACCAAACAGCUUUAAGGAGGCUCUUGAUGGAGCACCGACGAUCGUCACGUCAGCAGACAUAUAUUGUGUUUGGAGAUUGAAGAAUUCCCAAACUGAUCAUACGUACCAGACUGAAAGUUAAUUAUAUUGCAGAUUUUCAUGCUCUGUCGUGCUGA